RNAcentral lists this ribosomal RNA (1177 nucleotides) under Thermococcus barossii. RNAcentral describes it as "bacterial SSU rRNA". It matches the Rfam family "Archaeal small subunit ribosomal RNA", at positions 221 to 1411 of the family's 1478-position model. The record is from RNAcentral. Lineage: Archaea; Methanobacteriati; Methanobacteriota; Thermococci; Thermococcales; Thermococcaceae.
CGAUUAGGUAGUUGUGGGUAACGCCCACCAAGCCGAAGAUCGUACGGGCAUGAGAGUGGGAGCCCGGAGAUGACACUGAGACACGGUCAGGCCCUACGGGGCGCAGCAGGCGCGAACCUCGCAAUGCGGGCAACCGCGACGGGGGGACCCCCAGUGCCGUGGCAUCGCACGGCUUUUCGGAGUGUAAAAGCUCCGGGAAUAAGGGCUGGGCAAGGCCGGUGGCAGCCGCCGCGGUAAUACCGGCGGCCCGAGUGUGGCCGCUAUUAUUGGGCUAAAGCGUCCGUAGCCGGGCCCGUAAGUCCCUGGCGAAAUCCACGGCUCAACCGUGGGGCUUGCUGGGGAUACUGCGGGCCUUGGGACCGGGAGAGGCCGGGGGUACCCCUGGGGUAGGGGUGAAAUCCUAUAAUCCCAGGGGGACCGCCAGUGGCGAAGGCGCCCGGCUGGAACGGGUCCGACGGUGAGGGACGAAGGCCAGGGGAGCGAACCGGAUUAGAUACCCGGGUAGUCCUGGCUGUAAAGGAUGCGGGCUAGGUGUCGGGCGAGCUUCGAGCUCGCCCGGUGCCGAAGGGAAGCCGUUAAGCCCGCCGCCUGGGGAGUACGGCCGCAAGGCUGAAACUUAAAGGAAUUGGCGGGGGAGCACUACAAGGGGUGGAGCGUGCGGUUUAAUUGGAUUCAACGCCGGGAACCUCACCGGGGGCGACGGCAGGAUGAAGGCCAGGCUGAAGGUCUUGCCGGACACGCCGAGAGGAGGUGCAUGGCCGCCGUCAGCUCGUACCGUGAGGCGUCCACUUAAGUGUGGUAACGAGCGAGACCCGCGCCCCCAGUUGCCAGUCCUCCCCGCUGGGGAGGAGGCACUCUGGGGGGACCGCCGGCGAUAAGCCGGAGGAAGGAGCGGGCGACGGUAGGUCAGUAUGCCCCGAAACCCCCGGGCUACACGCGCGCUACAAUGGGCGGGACAAUGGGAUCCGACCCCGAAAGGGGAAGGGAAUCCCCUAAACCCGCCCCCAGUUCGGAUCGCGGGCUGCAACUCGCCCGCGUGAAGCUGGAAUCCCUAGUACCCGCGUGUCAUCAUCGCGCGGCGAAUACGUCCCUGCUCCUUGCACACACCGCCCGUCACUCCACCCGAGCGGGGUCUGGAUGAGGCCUGAUCUCCCUUCGGGGAGGUCGGUCGAGUCUG